ACAGGAAGAAAAAAACUUAAAAUGUACAGGAAAGAAGAAUGGAGGACAUAGCAGGGUGGAAGAGUACAUUGAAGCAGUAAGGGAUAUGAAGAAGCUGGAAGGGUUCAGUCUGGCGGGUCCACCAAUCGCCCUCGAAGAGCCUGCUAUCAAGACUGGCUGUCACAGCGCCUGUUGCUGGUAAGAAUUUUAAAAGCUUGGACACAACUUUUACCUCUCAAAAACGGAACAGGCCUGAACUGCCUGAACAGGACAUACAAGGGGAGAAGAAACCAAACAUAUAGAAACAAAAUGUAAUCUGUAGAACUGAAUUGCCUUCUUAAACUGUGCAAGUGACAAAAAAAUUCUUUUUCUUAUAAUUCAUUAAAAUGAAAUUAAUGGCAA
Molecule: long non-coding RNA, 381 nt
Organism: Dromaius novaehollandiae (emu)
Lineage: Eukaryota; Metazoa; Chordata; Aves; Casuariiformes; Dromaiidae
Exons: 2
Source: RefSeq, a predicted model, not a curated record